CUGUGGAAGGCUUCCUCCCCUCAUCGUGUGGGUUGCGUUGGUCAAGGAGGACAGACAUCGCUAAUCAGAAUGCUGCCUUUUAACAGAACGACAGGUGAUUAGAUGACCACUUUCAGCUGUGUCAUCCGCUCACCUGUCGCCAACCUCGAAGCCGGCCCUGCCACACCCCGCUUCCCUGCAGAUGGACCAUGGUGUGUGCCAGGUGUUCCUGCCGCCAGAGAAGGAUAGUCCCAAACAGCUUUCAAACAAAUGCCCUGAGACCAGCUUAGAUGAUGAUCUUGAGCUUUCAGGGCACCUGUUGUUGGCAACUGGCUGGUAAACGUUUUGGAGCUCAUUUAUACCUUCAGAAUGUUCUGGAAGCUUUCCCUCAGAGGUGCAGGUCAAUGCUUUCACCCCAGCAUCACGUAGCUGCUGCACGGGCAUGAUGUGCAUGUUUCUGUUUCCAGCACAUUCAGGAUAGUCUGUUGGAUUUAUAACAGUGAAACAAUUUUAAAAGGCCUUUUUGACACUAGGGCUGUAUUGGUAAAUCUGAUUUUUUUUGGUACAGAACAUUAUUUUUAGUUAUUUAGUAUGUCUAAUUCGAAUCCUGCUCAUUUAAAAAAAAAUGCAGGAUAUGCAAUGUUUGUAGAAAUUGCG
Nerophis ophidion (straightnose pipefish) is the source of this 636-nucleotide long non-coding RNA. RefSeq lists it as uncharacterized. The transcript is spliced from 3 exons. Lineage: Eukaryota; Metazoa; Chordata; Actinopteri; Syngnathiformes; Syngnathidae. The record is from RefSeq and is a predicted model, not a curated record.